GUGCCAGCAGCCGCGGUAAUACGAAGGGGGCGAGCGUUGUUCGGAAUUACUGGGCGUAAAGGGCGCGUAGGCGGCGCACCAAGUCAGGCGUGAAAGCCCUGGGCUUAACCCAGGAAUUGCGUUUGAGACUGGCGUGCUGGAGUGCAGGAGAGGUCGGCGGAAUUCCCAGUGUAGAGGUGAAAUUCGUAGAGAUUGGGAAGAACACCGGUGGCGUAGGCGGCCGACUGGACUGUAACUGACGCUGAGGCGCGAAAGCGUGGGGAGCAAACAGGAUUAGAAACCCGCGUAGUCC
This 292-nucleotide ribosomal RNA is filed under the name uncultured bacterium. Its description in RNAcentral is "partial 16S ribosomal RNA". It matches the Rfam family "Bacterial small subunit ribosomal RNA", at positions 505 to 796 of the family's 1533-position model. The record is from RNAcentral.